UGCCCUGAGAAGAUACGUCACAAAAGCCU
This 29-nucleotide non-coding RNA is filed under the name Homo sapiens (human). Lineage: Eukaryota; Metazoa; Chordata; Mammalia; Primates; Hominidae. The record is from RNAcentral.